Molecule: long non-coding RNA, 1589 nt
Filed under: Brachypodium distachyon (stiff brome)
Lineage: Eukaryota; Viridiplantae; Streptophyta; Magnoliopsida; Poales; Poaceae
Description: long non-coding RNA (BDIS_LNC002862)
Source: RNAcentral
CUGUGUCCUCGCCGCAGGUUGCCGAGUGUCAGCGACCUUCUCCCUUUUUGGCUGCGAUGGACAGUGGGCCACCGCUCUUGGGCUGAGGCUUGCUAUCAAUCACACCACACGAGAUGCACGUCAAAUACAAGAUUUGUCAACAAGGACCGUGGGUUGGAACAUCUCUGACCUCCACCUUCCUCUGAAGUUUCUCAGGUGAAAUUGUGUUGUAAUCCUAUUCUAUUGAGUGAAUCUAAUAAGGAAAUACUCCUAAGACCGACUUGGAAUGUUCUGUUUCUUGUGGAGGACCUAAUACUUAGUUAUACACUCCAAAAAAAAAUACAACAAGCGGGCCUAAGGAUUUUAAUCCUCCAAGUUGUUUAAGAAAAACGGAUUUGCUAGUUCUCAGUCGCCUGAGAAAUUGGUAUUUCUCAGUCGAUGCACUGGACUGCCGGAUCAUACAUUGAGAUUCGUACCAGCGUUUAUGCAAAACAGAGUGAAUGUAAAUAUAGAUCCACAACUCCAUGUAUUCUGUUAGAGUAGACUGGUGCAGUGGCAAACACUAGUGCGCUGGGUUGGAUUGGAUGUGUGGGGAUGGGAAGUUUGAAUCCACUCCUGCCCUUUUUUUAGUUUUUUCUUCAUUUUGUUUCUUUUUUCUUCCUUUUGUUUUAUGUUUCUUUUUCUUUAUCAUUUCCUUUUUCUUAUUUAUAGUUCGCUUCUUCUUUUUUAUCUUUUGAUUCUUCUCUUUUCAUUAUCCCUUGUUUCUAUAUGGAACACUAAUAUGUAUUUCUUUGUUCCUUUUUCUUCUUUUGCUUCAUUUUUUGUUUGUUUCCCUUGACAAUAUUAGAGUGACUAGUUAGGGUUAGUAACCCCAUAAUUGUAUGCGGGUUGCAGCUGUAAUUUUCGAGUUGGGUGGACGUUGCGACUGCAAUUUUUCCGGUUGGAAAAUAGUUUCGACUAUAAUUUUUCUGGCAACUUUAAAAUCACACCCGUAAUUUUUUUCAUGCGGUUUCAACUGUAUUUUUUUUUCUUUUAUGUUGCACCUGUGAGUUUCCGCCCGAAUGAGGUUUCAACCGUAACUUUGUAAAAAGUUUAGUUGCACAACGAUUGCAACUAUACUUUUCCCAUUUGUAUGAAAAUUUCAACUGUAAUUUUUUGAACUACAGAAUAGUUGCAGAUAUAAUUUUUCAAGUACCAUGAAAUUUGCACUGUAAUUUUCCUAGUUUAAAUCGGAAUACGCAUCGUGAAUGAGUUUUGGAUUUUUUUUUUUUGGGACCAAAUCCAAGCAACGUACGUACACAAUAACCCAGCAGCCAGCUAUGUCACCCGAAGGCCAACACACACACACGCACGCACACACGAUGCCACGAGCGCGCACACACGUGCACACACAGGCAGGAGAGGCCUGCAUGCACGGCAGGCUUUGUGCCAGGAGAGGCUUGCAUGCAAUAGAAUUGCUCGGUAUUGAUUUGGUGGACUGAGAAUCUCUCGGGAUUUAUCUCGUCGACAGUCGACUGAGCGUCAGACAUUCCCUAAGAAAAACACUUUGAAUAAAAUGAGCACUUUAUAUUUAUCCGUACCAAUUAUAACUUUGCUAAUUCUAGUUUUCA